CUACCGUGCAGCCGAGCGGUAGAGUCUCUUCGUUGCACUUGAGAGCGGCACACGGGUGCGGAACACGUGUGCCAGCUGCCUUGAUCGGGGGGAUAGCCUUUCUAAAGGAAAAUUAAUACCCCAUAAUAUUUUGAAUGGCAUCAUUUUAAAUUGACCUUCCGGUGGAUGCCAAUGGGCACGCCCAAAAGUAGAUAGUUGGUGAGGGAACGGCUCGCCAACCCUGCGAUCUUUACGGGGCCUGACAGGGAGAUCCCCCACCCUGGCUCUGACACACACACCAGACUCAUACCGAAGGCAGGAGUGAGGAAUAUUGAACGAUGGGUGAGAGCCUGAUCCAUCCAUCCCUCGCGAAGGACGACGGACCGAUGUCUUGUAGACUUCUUUUGUCUAGGGAUAAACCUACUCUCGUGAUAGUAACUGAAGGUACUGUACUAAUACGCACCGGAUAACUCCGUGCCAUCCGCCGCGGUAAUACGGAGGAUGCAAGCGUUAUCCGGAUUUAUUGGAAUUACUGGGUCCGUAGGCUGAUGUGUAAGUCUGUGGUGAAAUCUCACAGCUCCCCUGUGAAACUGCCAUUGAUGCUGCAUGUCUUGAGUGUUGUUGACUUGCUGGAAUAAGUAGAAUUCCGGUGAAAUGCAUAAAUAUUACUUAGAACACCAAUUGCCAAGGCAGGUUACUAAGCCACAUGCUGCACACUGAUGACACUAAAGCGUGGAGAAGCGAACAGAGAUUACAUGCUCUGGAUACCCCGCGUCCGUCAACCGAUGCUACCAUCGUCUUAUUGUGGAUGG
RNAcentral lists this ribosomal RNA (791 nucleotides) under Chryseobacterium indologenes. RNAcentral's name for it is "bacterial SSU rRNA". It matches the Rfam family "Bacterial small subunit ribosomal RNA", at positions 48 to 835 of the family's 1533-position model. The record is from RNAcentral. Lineage: Bacteria; Pseudomonadati; Bacteroidota; Flavobacteriia; Flavobacteriales; Weeksellaceae.